GAUGAACGCUGGCGGCGUGCCUAAUACAUGCAAGUCGAGCGAACAGACGCGGAGCUUGCUCCUCUGACGUUAGCGGCGGACGGGUGAGUAACACGUGGAUAACCUACCUAUAAGACUGGGAUAACUUCGGGAAACCGGAGCUAAUACCGGAUAAUAUAUUGAACCGCAUGGUUCAAUAGUGAAAGACGGUUUUGCUUUCACUUGUAGAUGGAUCCGCGCCGCAUUAGCUAGUUGGUAAGGUAACGGCUUACCAAGGCAACGAUGCGUAGCCGACCUGAGAGGGGGAUCGGCCACCCUGGAGCUGAGACACGGUCCAGACUCCUACGGGAGGCAGCAGUAGGGAAUCUUCCGCAAUGGGCGAAAGCUUGACGGAGCAACGCCGCGUGAGUGAUGAAGGUCUUCGGAGCGUAAAACUCUGUUAUUGGGGAAGAACAAAUGUGUAAGUAACUAUGCACGUCUUGACGGUACCUAAUCAGAAAGCCCCGGCUAACUACGUG
Molecule: ribosomal RNA, 497 nt
Filed under: uncultured bacterium
Lineage: Bacteria
Description: partial 16S ribosomal RNA
Rfam family: Bacterial small subunit ribosomal RNA
Source: RNAcentral